Molecule: non-coding RNA, 122 nt
Organism: Picea glauca (white spruce)
Lineage: Eukaryota; Viridiplantae; Streptophyta; Pinopsida; Pinales; Pinaceae
Source: Rfam
UUAUGUACAUGCCUACAACGUUAAUCCACCAGAUCCCAUUAGAACUCUAUAGUUAAGCGUGCUUGGGCAAGAGUAGUACUGGGAUGGGUGACCUCUCGGGAAGUUCUAUUGUUUUACAUGCC